AGAGUUUGAUCCUGGCUCAGAACGAACGCUGGCGGCAGGCUUAACACAUGCAAGUCGAACGCCCCGCAAGGGGAGUGGCAGACGGGUGAGUAACGCGUGGGAACAUACCUUUUGGUUCGGAACAACUGAGGGAAACUUCAGCUAAUACCGGAUAAGCCCUUACGGGGAAAGAUUUAUCGCCGAAAGAUUGGCCCGCGUCUGAUUAGCUAGUUGGUGAGGUAAUGGCUCACCAAGGCGACGAUCAGUAGCUGGUCUGAGAGGAUGAUCAGCCACACUGGGACUGAGACACGGCCCAGACUCCUACGGGAGGCAGCAGUGGGGAAUAUUGGACAAUGGGCGAAAGCCUGAUCCAGCCAUGCCGCGUGUGUGAUGAAGGCCUUAGGGUUGUAAAGCACUUUUGUCCGGGAAGAUAAUGACUGUACCGGAAGAAUAAGCCCCGGCUAACUUCGUGCCAGCAGCCGCGGUAAUACGAAGGGGGCUAGCGUUGCUCGGAAUCACUGGGCGUAAAGGGCGCGUAGGCGGACUCUUAAGUCGGGGGUGAAAGCCCAGGGCUCAACCCUGGAAUUGCCUUCGAUACUGAGNAGUCUUGAGUUCGGAAGAGGUUGGUGGAACUGCGAGUGUAGAGGUGAAAUUCGUAGAUAUUCGCAAGAACACCAGUGGCGAAGGCGGCCAACUGGUCCGAUACUGAC
RNAcentral lists this ribosomal RNA (689 nucleotides) under uncultured bacterium. RNAcentral's name for it is "bacterial SSU rRNA". It matches the Rfam family "Bacterial small subunit ribosomal RNA", at positions 8 to 744 of the family's 1533-position model. The record is from RNAcentral.